UUGACCUCGAAUCAGGUAGGAAUACCCGCUGAACUUAAGCAUAUCAAUAAGCGGAGGAAAAGAAACCAACAGGGAUUGCCCUAGUAACGGCGAGUGAAGCGGCAACAGCUCAAAUUUGAAAUCUGGCUCUCGGGCCCGAGUUGUAAUUUGUAGAGGAUGCUUUUGGUGCGGUGCCUUCCGAGUUCCCUGGAACGGGACGCCAUAGAGGGUGAGAGCCCCGUCUGGUUGGAUGCCAAUCCUCUGUAAAGCUCCUUCGACGAGUCGAGUAGUUUGGGAAUGCUGCUCUAAAUGGGAGGUAUAUGUCUUCUAAAGCUAAAUACCGGCCAGAGACCGAUAGCGCACAAGUAGAGUGAUCGAAAGAUGAAAAGAACUUUGAAAAGAGAGUUAAAAAGUACGUGAAAUUGUUGAAAGGGAAGCGCUUGUGACCAGACUUGGGCUUGGUUGAUCAUCCAGGGUUCUCCCUGGUGCACUCUUCCGGCUCAGGCCAGCAUCAGUUUGCCUCGGGGGAUAAAGGCUUCGGGAAUGUGGCUCUCUCCGGGGAGUGUUAUAGCCCGCUGCGUAAUACCCUGUGGCGGACUGAGGUUCGCGCAUUCGCAAGGAUGCUGGCGUAAUGGUCAUCAGUGACCCGUCUUGAAACACGGACCAAGGAGUCGUCUUCGUAUGCGAGUGUUCGGGUGUCAAACCCCUACGCGAAAUGAAAGUGAACGCAGGUGAGAGCUUCGGCGCAUCAUCGACCGAUCCUGAUGUUCUCGGAUGGAUUUGAGUAAGAGCAUACGGAGCCGGACCCGAAAGAAGGUGAACUAUGCCUGUGUAGGGUGAAGCCAGAGGAAACUCUGGUGGAGGCUCGCAGCGGUUCUGACGUGCAAAUCGAUCGUCAAACAUGGGCAUGGGGGCGAAAGACUAAUCGAACCUUCUAGUAGCUGGUUUCCGCCGAAGUUUCCCUCAGGAUAGCAGUGUUGAACUCAGUUUUAUGAGGUAAAGCGAAUGAUUAGGGACUCGGGGGCGCUAUUUAGCCUUCAUCCAUUCUCAAACUUUAAAUAUGUAAGAAGCCCUUGUUGCUUAAUUGAACGUGGGCAUUCGAAUGAAUCAACACUAGUGGGCCAUUUUUGGUAAGCAGAACUGGCGAUGCGGGAUGAACCGAACGCGAGGUUAAGGUGCCAGAGUAGACGCUCAUCAGACACCACA
This 1185-nucleotide ribosomal RNA is filed under the name Fusarium lichenicola. Its description in RNAcentral is "eukaryotic LSU rRNA". It matches the Rfam family "Eukaryotic large subunit ribosomal RNA", at positions 1 to 1216 of the family's 3401-position model. The record is from RNAcentral. Lineage: Eukaryota; Fungi; Ascomycota; Sordariomycetes; Hypocreales; Nectriaceae.